This 379-nucleotide ribosomal RNA is filed under the name uncultured bacterium. RNAcentral's name for it is "bacterial SSU rRNA". It matches the Rfam family "Bacterial small subunit ribosomal RNA", at positions 521 to 896 of the family's 1533-position model. The record is from RNAcentral.
UAAUACGAAUGUGGCAAGCGUUGUUCGGAAUCACUGGGCAUAAAGCGCACGUAGGCGGCCUAGUCAGUUGAUUUGUGAAAUCCCCCGGCUUAACCGGGGAAUUGCGGUCAAUACUGCUAAGCUCGAGUACGGAAGGGGAGAGUGGAACUCUGGGUGUAGCGGUGGAAUGCGAAGAUAUCCAGGGGAAGGCCGGUAGCGAAAGCGACUCUCUGGUCCGAUACUGACGCUGAGGUGCGAAAGCGUAGGUAGCGAACGGGAUUAGAUACCCCGGUAGUCUACGCAGUAAACGAUGGGCACUAGGUGGUGGAAACGCCGAUAGUUUUCUCCGCCGAAGCAAAUGCGUUAAGUGCCCCGCCUGGGGAGUAUGGUCGCAAGAUUA